AAAAAGACAAACUCUGGUUUCCGUUCCCAACGUUUGACCGUCCGUCUUAUUUGAAAAAAUUAUAAAAAAAAACUAAAAAGACAAGUCACACAUAAAAUAUUAAUCAUGUUUUAUCAUCUAACAACAAUAAAAAUACGAAUUAUAAAAAUAAUUCAUAUAAGACGGACAGUUAAAGUUGGACACGGAAACCCAUGGUUUGUCUUUUU
Molecule: microRNA precursor, 206 nt
Organism: Oryza sativa Japonica Group (Japanese rice)
Lineage: Eukaryota; Viridiplantae; Streptophyta; Magnoliopsida; Poales; Poaceae
Rfam family: MIR812 microRNA precursor family
Source: Rfam